GGAGCCUACACGAGUGAGAAUGCAGGCAUGAGUAGCGAAAGACGGGUGAGAAACCCGUCCGCCGAAUGAUCAAGGGUUCCAGGGUCAAGCUAAUCUGCCCUGGGUAAGUCGGGACCUAAGGCGAGGCCGACAGGCGUAGUCGAUGGACAACGGGUUGAUAUUCCCGUACCGGCGAAAAACCGCCAAUACUGAUCGAGGGAUACUAACCGCCCGAAGCAUGACCGCCCGCCCUUUGGGGUGACGUGGUUUUUUGUGGAGCGCGGGACCUGAUCUUGGGAGGUAAGCGUAUUAACAGGUGUGACGCAGGAAGGUAGCCAAGCCGGGCGAUGGUAGUCCCGGUCUAAGGAUGUAGGAGGGACCAUAGGCAAAUCCGUGGUCCUGGUUUCGAUACCGGCUCUGAGAUCUGAUGGGACCCCCUCAGGGGGGAAUUUGGUGAUCCUAUGCUGCCGAGAAAAGCAUCGGCGCGAGGUUUUAGCCGCCCGUACCCCAAACCGACACAGGUGAUCAGGUAGAGAAUACUAAGGCGAUCGAGAGAAUUAUGGUUAAGGAACUCGGCAAAAUGCCCCCGUAACUUCGGGAGAAGGGGGGCCCCAACCGUGACGGCGACUAGCUCGCCAGGAGCGGAUCGGGGCCGCAGAGACCAGGGGGAAGCGACUGUUUACUAAAAACACAGGUCCGUGCGAAGUCGCAAGACGAUGUAUACGGACUGACUCCUGCCCGGUGCUGGAAGGUUAAGAGGACCGGUUAGCUCACUUGUGGGCGAAGCUGGGAAUUCAAGCCCCAGUAAACGGCGGUGGUAACUAUAACCAUCCUAAGGUAGCGAAAUUCCUUGUCGGGUAAGUUCCGACCUGCACGAAUGGAGUAACGACUUCCCCGCUGUCUCAACCAUAAACUCGGCGAAAUUGCAGUACGAGUAAAGAUGCUCGUUACGCGCAGCAGGACGGAAAGACCCCGAGACCUUCACUAUAGUUUGGUAUUGGUGUUCGGUGUGGCUUGUGUAGGAUAGGUGGGAGACUGUGAAGCCCGGACGCUAGUUCGGGUGGAGUCAUCGUUGAAAUACCACUCUGGUCACUCUGGAUAUCUAACUUCGGCCCGUAAUCCGGGUCAGGGACAGUGCCUGAUGGGUAGUUUAACUGGGGCGGUUGCCUCCUAAAAAGUAACGGAGGCGCCCAAAGGUUCCCUCAGCCUGGUUGGCAAUCAGGUGGCGAGUGUAAGUGCACAAGGGAGCUUGACUGUGAGAGAGACAUCUCAAGCAGGGACGAAAGUCGGGACUAGUGAUCCGGCGGCACAUUGUGGAAUGGCCGUCGCUCAACGGAUAAAAGGUACCUCGGGGAUAACAGGCUGAUCUUGCCCAAGAGUCCAUAUCGACGGCAUGGUUUGGCACCUCGAUGUCGGCUCGUCGCAUCCUGGGGCUGGAGUAGGUCCCAAGGGUUGGGCUGUUCGCCCAUUAAAGCGGUACGCGAGCUGGGUUUAGAACGUCGUGAGACAGUUCGGUCCCUAUCCGCUGCGCGCGCAGGAAAUUUGAGAAGGGCUGUCCUUAGUACGAGAGGACCGGGACGGACGAACCUCUGGUGUGUCAGUUGUACUGCCAAGUGCACCGCUGAUUAGCUACGUUCGGAUGGGAUAACCGCUGAAAGCAUCUAAGCGGGAAGCCUGCUUCAAGAUGAGAUUUCCAUACACCUUGAGUGUGAGAGGCCCCCAGCCAGACCACUGGGUUGAUAGGCCGGAUGUGGAAGCAAGGACUAAAGACUUGCGAAGCUGACCGGUACUAAUAAGCCGAUAACUUACACCA
Molecule: ribosomal RNA, 1792 nt
Filed under: Arthrobacter sp. Br18
Lineage: Bacteria; Bacillati; Actinomycetota; Actinomycetes; Micrococcales; Micrococcaceae
Description: bacterial LSU rRNA
Rfam family: Bacterial large subunit ribosomal RNA
Source: RNAcentral